CCAAUAGCGUAUAUUAAAGUUGUUGCAGUUAAAAAGCUCGUAGUUGAACUUCGGGGUCUACCCAUUGGUCAGGCUUAAUUGUCUGCACUGGUGAGAUGGAUCUCUACCUUCUGAGGAACUUUCAUGCCAUUUAUUUGGUGUGGUUGGAAAUCAGGACUGUUACUUUGAAAAAAUUAGAGUGUUUAAAGCAGACUAUCGUCUGAAUACAUUAGCAUGGAAUAAUGAAAUAGGACGGACUGAUUCUAUUUCGUUGGUUUCUAGGAUCACCGUAAUGAUUAAUAGGGAUAGUUGGGGGCAUUAGUAUUCAAUUGUCAGAGGUGAAAUUCUUGGAUUUAUUGAAGACUAACUACUGCGAAAGCAUUUGCCAAGGAUAUUUUCAUUAAUCAAGAACGAAAGUUAGGGGAUCGAAGACGAUCAGAUACCGUCGUAGUCUUAACCAUAAACUAUGUCGACUAGGGAUCGGACGAAGUUAAUUUAUAAUGACGCGUUCGGCACCUUACG
Molecule: unclassified non-coding RNA, 501 nt
Filed under: uncultured Diversispora
Lineage: Eukaryota; Fungi; Glomeromycota; Glomeromycetes; Diversisporales; Diversisporaceae
Description: SSU rRNA
Rfam family: Eukaryotic small subunit ribosomal RNA
Source: RNAcentral